CGGGGUUGUAGUUCGCUUGCUCCUGUCACAUCAUUUCUCUCACCUGUCCGCUUUGGGAUACGAAGAGAGGCUUCUGCGUCAAGCCUAUAUUUCGUGUUAAGGAUCUAGGGGAGGUCUUCUAGCUCCUGUCUGCCAAUGCCUACAAGUCUUCAAGGAGAGGAGCCCAUCAUCCAGUUGGGACCGUCACCCUAAUAGGAGGAUGCAGAGCAGCUGCUGUAUGGAAAAUGUGAGUGGCAUCACCAUAGACAGGGAGAACAGGAGAAAUGCAGCAUUGGGUUACGUUAAAACAUCUCAUUUAGCAAAGGUAAACCCGGUGAAGGGGAAACUUAAAAGAAAAGUCAAUCAAGGUGGUAGAGACUGACACAUGGAUUAGGAGUGAAGCAGAGGGUC
This 390-nucleotide long non-coding RNA is filed under the name Homo sapiens (human). RNAcentral's name for it is "HSALNT0106415". The record is from RNAcentral. Lineage: Eukaryota; Metazoa; Chordata; Mammalia; Primates; Hominidae.